AGAUUAUCUCCGGAAAAUUAUAGUGCAGAGUCGAUCCUCCAAGUCAACCAAAGUUGGAGAUAUCAUGACCGAAGAGAACAAGCUGAUCACGGUGAAACCUGAAACCUGAGUCCUGGAAGCAAUGCAGCUGAUGA
Molecule: long non-coding RNA, 134 nt
Organism: Triticum aestivum (bread wheat)
Lineage: Eukaryota; Viridiplantae; Streptophyta; Magnoliopsida; Poales; Poaceae
Exons: 2
Source: RefSeq, a predicted model, not a curated record